CAGUCGCCGCGGUAACACAGAGGGUGCGAGCGUUAAUCGGAUUUACUGGGCGUAAAGCGUGCGUAGGCGGCUAAUUGAGUCGGAUGUGAAAUCCCCGAGCUUAACUUGGGAAUUGCAUUCGAUACUGGUUAGCUAGAGUGUGGGAGAGGAUGGUAGAAUUCCAGGUGUAGCGGUGAAAUGCGUAGAGAUCUGGAGGAAUACCGAUGGCGAAGGCAGCCAUCUGGCCUAACACUGACGCUGAGGUACGAAAGCAUGGGGAGCAAACAGGAUUAGAGACCCCAGUAGUCCCUGUCUCUUAUAC
RNAcentral lists this ribosomal RNA (301 nucleotides) under uncultured bacterium. RNAcentral's name for it is "partial 16S ribosomal RNA". It matches the Rfam family "Bacterial small subunit ribosomal RNA", at positions 509 to 807 of the family's 1533-position model. The record is from RNAcentral.